RNAcentral lists this small nuclear RNA (106 nucleotides) under Dracunculus medinensis (Guinea worm). Lineage: Eukaryota; Metazoa; Nematoda; Chromadorea; Rhabditida; Dracunculidae. The record is from RNAcentral.
UUGUUUCAUUCCGAUGAACAAAUAUGCCAAAAUUGGAACAGGAAAAGAUUAUCACGGCUCCUGCCCAAGGAUAACACGGAAAUUUUUGAAGAAAUUACACAUAAAU